UCCUGGCUUAGGAUGAACGCUAGCUACAGGCUUAACACAUGCAAGUCGAGGGGCAGCAUUGGAGUAGCAAUACUCAGAUGGCGACCGGCGCACGGGUGAGUAACACGUAUCCAACCUGCCGCUUACUCGGGGAUAGCCUUUCGAAAGAAAGAUUAAUACCCGAUGGUAUAAAGAGUUCGCAUGUUCUCUUUAUUAAAGAAUUUCGGUAAGCGAUGGGGAUGCGUUCCAUUAGAUAGUUGGCGGGUAACGGCCCACCAAGUCUACGAUGGAUAGGGGUUCUGAGAGGAAGGUCCCCCACAUUGGAACUGAGACACGGUCCAAACUCCUACGGGAGGCAGCAGUGAGGAAUAUUGGUCAAUGGACGAGAGUCUGAACCAGCCAAAGUAGCGUGAAGGAUGACUGCCCUAUGGGUUGUAAACUUCUUUUAUAAGGGAAUAAAGUGAGGGACGUGUCCCUUUUUGUAUGUACCUUAUGAAUAAGGAUCGGCUAACUCCGUGCCAGCCGCCGC
This 508-nucleotide ribosomal RNA is filed under the name uncultured bacterium. Its description in RNAcentral is "bacterial SSU rRNA". It matches the Rfam family "Bacterial small subunit ribosomal RNA", at positions 17 to 518 of the family's 1533-position model. The record is from RNAcentral.